RNAcentral lists this ribosomal RNA (254 nucleotides) under uncultured bacterium. RNAcentral describes it as "partial 16S ribosomal RNA". It matches the Rfam family "Bacterial small subunit ribosomal RNA", at positions 524 to 776 of the family's 1533-position model. The record is from RNAcentral.
UACGGAGGGUGCGAGCGUUGUCCGGAAUCACUGGGCGUAAAGGGCGCGUAGGCGGCUCGGUAAGUAGGGGGGUGAAAUCCUGCGGCUUAACCGCAGGGCUGCCUUCUAAACUGUCGAGCUCGAGCACGGUAGAGGCAGAUGGAAUUCCCGGUGUAGCGGUGGAAUGCGUAGAGAUCGGGAAGAACAUCAGUGGCGAAGGCGGUCUGCUGGGCCGUUGCUGACGCUGAGGCGCGACAGCGUGGGGAGCAAACAGG